GAUGAAGAACGUAGCGAAAUGCGAUACUUGGUGUGAAUUACAGAAUCCCGUGAACCAUCGAGUCUUUGAACGCAAGUUGCGCCCGAAGCCAUUAGGCCGAGGGCACGCCUGCCUGGGCGUCACACGUCGUUGCCCCCCCAUCUACUCCUUCGGGAUUGCGGGGGGCGGAUGAUGGCCUCCCGUGCGCCUCGUCGCGCGGUUGGCCUAAAUGCCAAGUCCUCGGCGACGCACGCCACGACAAUCGGUGGUUGCGAAACCUCGGUUGCCUGUCGUGUGCGGUCGUCGCGCAUCGAGGGCUCGAAAAAAUUGCCGGGCUUCGGCUCGACUUUCAACGCGACCCCAGGUCAGGCGGGGUUACCCGCUGAAUUUAAGCAUAUCAAUAAGCGGAGGA
This 391-nucleotide unclassified non-coding RNA is filed under the name soil metagenome. Its description in RNAcentral is "partial contains 5.8S ribosomal RNA, internal transcribed spacer 2, and large subunit ribosomal RNA". The stretch from base 1 to 122 matches the Rfam family "5.8S ribosomal RNA", at positions 35 to 154 of the family's 154-position model. The record is from RNAcentral.